RNAcentral lists this long non-coding RNA (1764 nucleotides) under Xyrichtys novacula (pearly razorfish). The record is from RNAcentral. Lineage: Eukaryota; Metazoa; Chordata; Actinopteri; Labriformes; Labridae.
UGUGGUAUCUGGAGUACUACAUCAAUAUGCAUUGCCUUAAGGUAUUUUUCAGGAAUAGCCUGAGGACCAAUUGUGGAAUGUGGGUUUGUGUUUUCCUUGUUUAUCAUUAAUGACACCUGGGGUGAGAUAUCCUGGAAGGGCCACUGCACAGGUCACAGGUCACAGACCACCACUCUAGUUUACUCAAACACCAGAGGGUAAGGAAAAUAUCCCAAAAACAAAGAAAGGAUGUAGGAGGGCCUACAGCCCUAACCGUAUAUAACAGGGUCACAAACUCUGGUUUGGGAGAGCUGGACAUCAUUGGCAGUCCUCUCCCAGCAACUGCAGUGCUGUAUUGAUACUGGUUUUGUCUUUAUAAUAAACUCCUCUUAUACAAGCAAGCCAGUGUCACGAAGCCUCCUUCUGCAUCUACACAUCGAGGACAGCCCAGACACAACAAAUUGGCGUCACGAACAGGAUCAGCUACGGCCUCCAGAGGAUCACGGCAGCUUCAACGCCUCUAUUCCUGCACCACAUUGGCGCCAGGUGAGUGUUUGACUCACAUAAAGUGCUGCUGGUUUAGUUGUUGGAGCUGUUGUGUUCAGCUGUUAGGCUGUACUGUGUAAAAGUACUUGUGUGGAAAUGCUGUGAUGUGCUGUUGAAGAGAGGCUUCGUCUAAAUUUGGGUAGAAUAGAAAAGAAAAGAAGUUGUAGAGAAGAUGUUAAAAUAGACGAAAAAGAGAUGCCAAAAAUAGAAUAGCAGAGACUAGUAAUGGGAGUGUGCUAAAUAACCUUGCAAGAUUAACGAAGAGGGGCCCAUAUCUUCUUAACGGUAAGACAAUGUGUAAAUUAGUGACUAAUGUGAACGUCUAGCUCAAAAAGGAUAGUCGAAUUCGGGGCGUGGAAAGAAAAAGUGAGGAGUAAAACCCGGAGCCCAGGGUAAUUGGCAAAUAAAUGAUAAAAAGAGAUAAAGGGUGAAAAGAGAAACAGGCUGAGAUAGCCUAGGCUGAGAUGGCCGAAAAAGAGAAACAGGCUGAGAUAGCCUAGGCUGAGAUGGCCGAAAAAGAGAAACAGGCUGAGAUAGCCUAGGCUGAGAUGGCCGAAAAAGAGAAACAGGCUGAGAUAGCCUAGGCUGAGAUGGCCGAAAAAGAGAAAAAGGCUGAGAUAGCCAGGGCUGAGAUGGCCGAAACAGAGAAAAAGGCUGAGAUGGCCUGGGCUGAGAUAGCCGAAAAAGAGAAAAAGUUAACUUAAUGUUAGGGAAGUCGUGAUUGGGCAUACAAACCGGUAAGGACAGUUUAAAGAAAAAAAAUUAAGUUAACUUAAUGUUAGGGAAGUCGUGAUUGGGCAUACAAACCGGUAAGGACAGUUUAAAGAAGAAAAAAAGGCCUAUAAACUAUAGUAAGGAAACAUUGAGCUCUGUGAGGAGAGGUGUGUUGGAAUUUCCGUGUGUGAGAGAAGCUUCUGGUGUGUGUGUGAGGAGUGUGUGUAUGGGUGCUGCUGUGAGUGUGAGUGCAAAAGAGUCUGUGUGCAGUGAGUGGCAUGUGCACAAAGUUGGGGAAGUGUCUAGCAUAAAUAUAAGUGAUUAACUCAUGAUAAAGUGAUAAAUGAUGUCUUAUUAAAUAUAUAAUGAUAUGAUAUAAGAAAUUAACAUAUAAGGGAAGAGAUACUGUUGUCUUUGUAAUGUUAAAAAACAUAUGAGCCCUGGUUUUCUUUGUACAGGGACGUUAAUAGAACAAGUAACUGCUAUGAGCCUCUCAGGAUAAAGAGGACGUUAGUACACCUAAUA